Molecule: unclassified non-coding RNA, 147 nt
Organism: Macaca fascicularis (crab-eating macaque)
Lineage: Eukaryota; Metazoa; Chordata; Mammalia; Primates; Cercopithecidae
Rfam family: Metazoan signal recognition particle RNA
About the family: The signal recognition particle (SRP) is a universally conserved ribonucleoprotein. It is involved in the co-translational targeting of proteins to membranes.
Source: Ensembl
GCUGGGCGUGGUGGCGUAUGCCUGUAAUCCCAGCCACUGGGGAGGCUGAGGUGGGAGAAUCGCUUGAACCAGGGAGUCGGAGGUUGCAGUGAGCCAAGAUCUCACCACUGCACUCCAGCCUGGUGAAAGAGCGAGAUUCCAUCUCAA